Molecule: long non-coding RNA, 400 nt
Organism: Micropterus salmoides (largemouth bass)
Lineage: Eukaryota; Metazoa; Chordata; Actinopteri; Centrarchiformes; Centrarchidae
Exons: 3
Source: RefSeq, a predicted model, not a curated record
CACACACACACACACAGAGGCUACGUGAUUACUUGUGGUGAUUUACCUAGGUGCCAGGCCGGUUCAACUACGACUUAAGCGGGAACACAAGGAGACAUGACCUGCAUCAUUUACUGAACAGAUCUGUAUAGAGAGCCAAGGAUGCAGUAUGGAUUCAAAUCUCCAAGUGCAGCUGUUUUGUUCAGUGUUGCAGGUUGACGUGGACGCCAGCGCGAAGCAAGAGGUGUUCAGCACACAUCCAGAAUGUUUUGCAGUUUUCACAGUGUCUUGGUAGGGCAGGUGAAAGCACCCGGGGCUGUCGUCGUCAGGUGACCAGAAGGAGGACGGCCUCUUGUGGUGGAGUUCUCGGCGAACGCAGCGAGGACACGGCUGAGCUUUCUGUCGACACUCUGCGUGGAAC